GACGAACGCUGGCGGCGUGCUUAACACAUGCAAGUCGAACGGAAAGGCCCUGCUUUUGUGGGGUGCUCGAGUGCUGAACGGGUGAGUAACACGUGAGUAACCUGCCCUUGACUUUGGGAUAACUUCAGGAAACUGGGGCUAAUACCGGAUAGGAGCUCCUGCUGCAUGGUGGGGGUUGGAAAGUUUCGGCGGUUGGGGAUGGACUCGCGGCUUAUCAGCUUGUUGGUGGGGUAGUGGCUUACCAAGGCUUUGACGGGUAGCCGGCCUGAGAGGGUGACCGGCCACAUUGGGACUGAGAUACGGCCCAGACUCCUACGGGAGGCAGCAGUGGGGAAUAUUGCACAAUGGGCGGAAGCCUGAUGCAGCAACGCCGCGUGCGGGAUGACGGCCUUCGGGUUGUAAACCGCUUUCGCCUGUGACGAAGCGUGAGUGACGGUAAUGGGUAAAGAAGCACCGGCUAACUACGUG
This 468-nucleotide ribosomal RNA is filed under the name uncultured bacterium. Its description in RNAcentral is "partial 16S ribosomal RNA". It matches the Rfam family "Bacterial small subunit ribosomal RNA", at positions 28 to 507 of the family's 1533-position model. The record is from RNAcentral.